UCCCGCCCUGGGCAUGUAUUAAGGAAAGAAUCAGUUCCCCAUUUUGGUGCAUCAUAGAUAUUUAGAUAUUUAACUAUUAAUCAGUAACCGGCAUUAUCAUCUUGAGUUGAUAUACAUCUUGAAAAAGAAAAACAAAAAAACAAAAGCAAAGAAACCUGAAACGUUUUCGUUUAGAUCUGCCUCUAAAAGCCCUACGCUGGGUAAAUGUACAUUUGAACUAGCCCCCCUGGGGGAGGGAGGUGGGCCGCAAGCCAGGCACCACAGGUGAGGUGUCUGUGUUGGGGAAAGAGAGGACGGUGCCAGCUGGGGGUCAGCUCUGGGUUCCUGGAGGCAAAGUCUUGAGCCGAGGACAGGCGAAGCCCUCCCUGGCAGAAUUUUAGGAAGACAAAUCUGGAGGUGAGCGAGAUGGUUUGGAGGGAGGGGCCGGCAGCCCGCAGUGCCAGAGCCUUGAUUCUUUUCUCUUUCUCACCUCAUCUGAGCUAACCAGAGCCUGCCCCCUCCUCUCUGCCGCAUCCUUCAGCUGUGCCCCGGGACACCGCCCCUCUCUGGCCAGGAUCUCUGCAGCUGCCCUCUCACUAGCAUCCCCACCUCCAGUGUCCGUCACUCGAACAAUCCUGCAGAUCAUGAACUCCUACAUUUAAGGCUGGACACCUGUAAGGUACCAGCUCUCUGAAACACAAACCUGACUGUGUCCCUUCCCCAUGUAAAAGCCUUCAGUGGCUGCCCGUCGGCCAGAAGUAAAAUCCAGAUUCCUCGCCGUGGGACAGAAGGCCCGCUAUGACUUAGACGUGGUGUCCUUCCAGCCCCGUCCGCCUCCACUGGCCCUGCGCGCCCAGACCUACAGCCGCUCGCUCCUCCAGUGCCGAAGGAUUCAUUCCUUCCGACUUUGGCCUCGUCUCCUCUUUGACCUUGCUCUGGAAAGAGUGGAGAUGAUUGAUUGCAUUGCACAUAUGGGGCUCCGAGCAACAUUCGAGCUCAACGAAUUUCCAUCAGUAGUGGGCACCUCGUAGCUGGAUGAUCCAGACCACAGAGAACCGUGAGACGGAGGGACGAGGCUACAUCGCCCCAGUCACUAAAGGAUUAUUGUUUAGGUAUACAUACCCCCUCCCUCCGUGAAAUGCAGUGUACAUAAACCCACAUUUAUAGGACGGAAGUUGAGGGGUGCUUGAUCACAUUGCUAACGGAGUCUGCCCAGAAUUUCUUUAACUAGGUGGCUCCUCUCGUAUCUUUCCAGUUGGGUCCCACGGAUUAAAAUCCCACUGACACCCAAUACACUGUGGAAAGAAACGACCAGGGACCAGGAGCUGGGAUGCCUGGUCUUAGUCCUGCCUCAGGACCCAUCCCAGACUGAGAAGGUGAGGACUAAUCCUGGACCACCUCUAAAUGCCAGGACUUUUAAAUCCUGAGCAAUCUGCACCAAUCCUAUCAAGCAAGAUAGACCUGUUGAUGAGAAGGCUCUGAUCCCCUAGCUGUGCUGGAAAGAGCCAGAAGGCCGGGAUGUGCCUCAGCCUGGGGUGCCCAGUGGGGUCCCCCCUGUCCUGGUGCUGUGCUCUGCUCCCCUCCCCCCAUUCGCUCUGACCUCCACCCGCACCCACUGCUUCAAUCGUAUUCUCCCUCUGCUCUGAGUUUUCUCGGGCCCCAGCUCCCUUGAAUUUAUGACAAUUGUUAUCGUUUCUGCCAGAUUGGCCUCCCUGCUCCACUAAAUUCAUAUCCUCAACCAUC
Leopardus geoffroyi (Geoffroy's cat) is the source of this 1722-nucleotide long non-coding RNA. RefSeq lists it as uncharacterized. NCBI's taxonomy places the organism in Eukaryota, Metazoa, Chordata, Mammalia, Carnivora, Felidae. The record is from RefSeq and is a predicted model, not a curated record. The transcript has 2 exons.